Molecule: ribosomal RNA, 396 nt
Filed under: uncultured bacterium
Lineage: Bacteria
Description: partial 16S ribosomal RNA
Rfam family: Bacterial small subunit ribosomal RNA
Source: RNAcentral
AUACGGAGGGUGCAAGCGUUACUCGGAAUCACUGGGCGUAAAGGAUGCGUAGGCUGUAAUAUAAGUCAGGAGUGAAAUCCAACGGCUCAACCGUUGAACUGCUCUUGAAACUGUUUUACUAGAAUAUGGGAGAGGUAGAUGGAAUUGGUGGUGUAGGGAUAAAAUCCGUAGAUAUCACCAGGAAUACCGAUUGCGAAGGCGAUCUACUGGAACAUUAUUGACGCUGAGGCAUGAAAGCGUGGGGAGCAAACAGGAUUAGAUACCCUGGUAGUCCACGCCCUAAACGAUGCACACUAGUUGUUGCGAUGCUAGUCAUUGCAGUAAUGCACUUAACAGAUUAAGUGUGCCGCCUGGGGAGUACGGUCGCAAGAUUAAAACUCAAAGGAAUUGGCGGGG